CUUGUUUCCUUUGUGAAACAGGAAUUCCUAUUGCGACCUGACUCUCUUGUUGUGCUGCUGAAGUGCUGUCGAAAUUUCCGCUGCGCGCAACACAGUUUAGUUAUUUUAGUUUCAAAUAUUCGAAAACCAAUCCAAGCUGAAGUUUUUCUAAAACCGAACCGAAAUGCUGAAAUUCGGUCGGUUUGGUCAGUUUAUUCGGUUGGCACCAAUUAGUGCUCACCCCCAGUACUAUCACCUAUCGUCAUUAUGAUGUUUGUUUAAGCUUUAAAGUGGCUUCUGAGCUGCUCUUCUGACUUGCAAGCGAGGGCCGGCUGCAGGUGGCCAUGGUGGUUCUUUCUUGACGUUAUGUUUAUGAACACAAUGUUUUGGUUAGUGCACUAUCAUGAUAUGACGUUCCUUAGUUUUUGCUUUAUGUUUUGAGCAUACUUAUAAAACUUCGGUGUUAUUUUCCUUUAGAUGAUCUCCCCGGGAUCAAAUUUAUCGCUGUUAUCUUCGGGAUAGCCUUCCCCCAUCACCCACCCCCAACAAAAAAAAAAGAAAAGAAAAAGAAAAAGAGAGGGUUUUUAAUGUUGCGGUUUCUUGGUGUGAAAUUAGGGUUAUAACUCGAUCAAACCAGGAAAAAAAGAAGAAGAGAAAAUGGCGAUGAUGAUUUGCCUAAAAGCAUCAGUUGUUUGAUUGCUAAGGUUAUGAAAAUGGGAAGGCAAGCUUGGAUGGCGUGCUAGUGUGCAGGCAACCAGCUUGCAGUCUUCCAUUUGCUUUGUUAGAGAGAGAGGGAGAGAGGCAUUGUAUAUUCUUUGUUACUGAUGCUACUUUAAACCGGCAUAUCUGAGCCUCCAUAAGGAACUAGCCCUCACAUAGUGUAAGUACUGGCGAUUCAUGUAUUGGGAUUAAUGAAAUUGGUUUGCCUUCUGAAAUUGCUAAAAAAGUUACAUUUGAAGAGAGGGUCACAGCUCAUAAUCUUGAGCGUUUGCAGAAAAUAGUAAACGUCGUGUGACCUAUAAAGAUGGCAAAUCUUUAUCCCCAGUCCCUUGCUGCACUGACUAAAUUUGUGGGAUUAUUCUGUGUUGAUCAACAGCUACGUAGCUCUCACAGUGGGUAGUUGAACUUUCAAUUGGUUAGUGAUUUUCUAUUAUCACUAAAGCUCAUGGUCAAUUCAUUUUUUUCUGAGAAAAGAGAAAGCACAGCAGUUGGGGAUGUUUGUUUUUCCUGUCUUAUCACCUCCUGCUGUAUUUCAAGCUUGUGAUUCUGGCUCUUGCUGGACCAUAUAUCACUUUUUGCAGUGUGCUUUGCCAUUGUUGGCUAUAUUGGAAAAAGGCAUGUAAUUGUUGGGGAAUUUUAGUCUCUCUGCCUACUACGAUCUCCACAACUCGGAAGCUAACCCACAAUCAACAAGAUAUAAAACAACCAUAAUCAAGAAGAAAGAACACCGAAAUUUACAUGGUUCGGUCGACCAACUUCGACCUACGUCCACGGGCAACAAUACGAGAAAUCCACUAUGUAUCAGGGAGAAUUAAAAGAGGAACUACUCAACUCUCGUCUCUCAACCUCACAUACAUAAUCAACUCUCAUAUUCUCUCCAAAGCCCUCUCCUUACAAUCUUUUGAGCGGACAAAGACUGCAAAAUCCUCUCCCAAAGAUGUAACUUUUUGCACGAACAAAGACUACAAAACCCUUGUCUCUCGCAUAAUAUUCUUGAAUCGGGCUACGCCCUCUGCUAACCCUAGAUUACAAGAAUAUUGGUUCUCUCUCUUCUGCUUGAUUUUUCUUCCAACAAUAGAAGAAUAUCUAUAUAUGGAAACCAAAACCCUAUCUCUAGCCUAACUUCCUAAUUAGAAUAGGAUUCAAACUCCUAAUCAUGAUGAGACUUAAUCUCCUAAUCAUGAUAGAUCUCCAACCCUAUCUAAUUCUCAUGAAGUGAUACAAAGAAUUAAAGACACGAUCCUAACAGUAAUCAAUUAGAGUUAAAUUCUGAAAUUUGAGUUUAAUAGGGACUUUCUGCAGUCAUCACUACUGACAUCAUUACUUCCAUAUUUGUUGCAAAGGGUCCUAGGGCUGCUCUUAGCUUUUUCAAUUCACCGCUCCACUUUUCUUGGAGAUGUUGCAGUUAGAAGAAUCUAGUGUAAUCCGCAAGACUUUUACGUUCCAAAUCCCAUCCUGAGAGAGGUUAAAGAUUGCAUACAGGUGAUUUCAUCUUUAGUAUACAGGUGAUUUCAUCUUUAGUGCCACAAUUGCGCAUGUCGUAUGAUGAGCUUCUAGGACUGCAAGUUGAGAAAGAUACUAAUCAUCUCAAAAUACCCAUUGUUGCAUUCAUUUUAUAGUCAUCUUGUUUUGGUUAUGUGAUUGAAUUCAAAGAGUGAGUCCUCGAUUGGUAAGGUUCUUCAAUAGAUAGGUUUUUUCGGCCUUCAACUCUUUAAGGGAAAGUUAUAUUCGAAGGCCUUGGUUGGGGAUAUCCAUCUCCAAUUUGUAAGUAGAUUCUCAACAACAGAUGUUAGGCCGUCAUCUGAGGCACAUGGGCUAGCAAUGGGCCGGUCUCGGAUUGAGUAUUUGCUGGUAACAUUUUUAGAUCUAUGGUUGCUGAUAUGUUGGUAGUUUACAUGACAUUGCUCUUAUAUACCCUCUCUUAUUUUCUUGACAUUUAAAUACCCUAUUGUUUUUAAGGUAGCAUGUGCUACCUUCUAUUAAUCUUACCUUCAGUUAGUAAGAUUAACGGUUAUGAAAUGGCAAGGUGAGCUUGGAUGUCUAGUAGCAUGCAGGCAACAUCUUGCAGCCACUCAUUUCUUGUUUCUAGAGAGAUUAAAUAUAUUUAUUAUGCCCAAAUUUUGUGAUGUUUGAAGUAAUGUGGCAUAUCUGAACCUACUUGAACAUGCAAGCUAGGGCUGACAACAGCAGGGGUUUGAGUUGGGUUGGAAGUUCCCUUUCAGAUCCAUUGAAAAAUAGGAGGAAGAAGAAGAAGAAGAAGAAGUCAAAUUAUGAUUUUCCGGAUGUGUCAGUGUCGUAUGAUUGUGAUUGCUAAGGUUAUAAAAAUGGCGAGGCAAGCUUGGAUGGCCUGCUAAUAUUCUGUCAACCAGCUUGCAGCCACCCAUUCACUCUUUUGGAUUUUUGCUUAUACAACGAAAGUUUUACCCCUAUUUACUUAAAAACCCAUAUAGUUCUAUAUGUUCUCAUACACCCAAAAUGCACAAAGUUUCUAUACCUUUAAACCCAAAGUGCAGAAGACAUUGAAAAGUGUAUAGCUACAUACCAAUUACUCUCUAACUACUUGUGCUUUCUUGUGUCCUUGUUUAGUAGGUAACUUUCUUUUCACUUUCUUCUCUAUGAUUUCUCACAGUAAUCCAAAAAAAAAGAAAAACUUUUGUUAUAUUUCUUUUGAAGGGAUCAUCUGCAAUUUACGCUUUUUUGGGAUGUUUUUUUCCUUUCAAAUUAUGCUUAUAGCUCCAUGAGAUGGUACUGUCCUCCUCGGACAAAGAAAUGAAAAGAAAAAGAUAUUGGCGAUGAUGAUCUGCCCAAAUGCAUCAAUCAUACUGAUACACCAGCUGUUGGUAAACCGAACUGUAAGGUUGUGAAGUGGUGAGGUAAGAUUGGACGGCCUUGUCGCAUGCGGGCAACCAUCUUGCAGCCACUCAUUUCUGUUUUGGUUUCUUACCUAUAUCCCCCAAAUCAAACAUAUUUGCAAAUUUACUCUCAAAAUCAAGAUAUUUUCUAAUUUUCUCCCAAGUUUGACUACAUUUGAGUUAAAAUACCCACCUGAUUCUCUCCAUCUCUGUGAUGCUUGAAUUAAAGUGGCAUAUCUGAGCCUCCAGUAUGCACUCCUUGGCUGACAACUGGUUGGGUAUUUGUGAGUAUUCCUUGCGGAUCCAUGGAACUCUUGCACUCGCCCCCUAUGGUCUGUAUAUAUAUGCAUUUAUUUUUCUGGAAGACAUUGUUAUGAUGAUUAUGUUAUUUAUGAAUUACUUUCUUUCACAAGCAAAUCUUAGUGUAAAUAUUCUGAUUUUGUAAUUUUUAAUUUUUUAAAGAAAUUCUGGUAGGGGGUUAGCUGCAAUAUACCCUUGCUUUAUAUUUCAGCGGCUAAUUUAAUAAUAUGGAAGAUUUGGAAGACUAAUAUCUGAAAAAUUCUUAGUUAUUUUUGCACUUACAAUUUCAUUGAUUUUCCCAAAUGCAUUUAUCUUUUUGAUUGACAUAUGUUGGGAGAAAUGACGAGGUGAGGUUGAGGUGCCUGCUACUAAACAGGCAAAUAGCUCGCUGCCAUCACACAUUCUUUUAAGAUAAGGUGCAGUCUACCUGAUCCACCUCCUUUAAAUAUGCAUGCUAGGGUCAAAAGCAGGUAGGGUUUGGAUCAGUUGCUGCAAGAUACAGGGUGCAAAAAAAAAUCUGUGUUCAUGGAUUUAUUCAUAUCCGUAUAUGUUAGGGGUGCAAAAAGUACCCUCAUGCAUGGAUAUAUCUGUAUCCAUAUCCGUUAUGAUGCGAAUAUGAAUACUCAGAUAUGGAUACAACAUAUCUGAUGGGUACUUUUUCCGUCGAGGGACCAAAUUGCGAGACCCCUUAUGAUUUGAGGGGCUUAUGAGCAAUUUCAAAGGUUGAGGGGAUAACGUGGAACUAUUGAAGAUAUGAGGGACUAAUAUCUAAAUAUUUCUCUUCAUUGCUAUUCCUCGGUUUCUAUGAAGUUUUUUUGCACUGAAGUGCAUGCAGCUGCAACUUUGUAAAAAUAGAAGCAUAUAAGAAUUAAUUUGCAAAAGGAAUAUCUCAAGCGAAUGCACGUGUUGUACAGCCAAUUACAAUAUAUCUGAAGGGGGUACCUGCAAUUUAUCCGUUCUUUGUCUUGGGUUUAAUAACUCUAAAAUUGGGCUUGCAACUCCAUAAAAUCCAAGGAAAAGAAGGAACAAAUGCUAAAAUGAUGAUUUUCCCAGAAUGCAUUAAUUGUUUGAUUGCAAAUAGGUAAGGCAAGCAUGGACGACGUGCUAGUAUGAAUGCAAACAGCUUGCAGCCAUUUGCUUUGGGUUAAAAUUACUAAAUUGAUAUUUUUAGCAUUACACACUUUUCGAUUAGGUAUCUGUAGUUGUCUUACUCUUUAUUUGUUAGAGAAACAUGACACAUACAUUAUUCAUAGUCGUAAUGUCCUGAAAACUGGCAUGUCUGAAUCUCAUCAUAUAUCUCCACAUGCAAGCUAGGGUUGCAACCUAUGUUUGCAAGGUGCUUCUACUUGGAGCCGUACCCAUGUCUUACACAUACCCAACACCAAAACUUCAAUGGACACUACUUGGAUAUUUGCAUACACUUAUUCAAAUGUGUACUCAAUUGUAUAAUACAUGAAUUAAUUAAACAUAUGUCAUGUAUUUCUUGGAUGUAUACCCACUCCACAUGCAAUUUUUGAAACUAGCUGAACAUACUUCGUCGUUUCAGCCCAUCCCAAUUCAAAACUAUGAUUAUCAAGGGUCUUUUGGAUAUCAAGUAAAAAACAUGCGUAAAUUUCUGAUUUAUGAUAUUAUAACAGAAACACAUAAUGUUUUAGGAAAUUUGUCUCGUAGCACGUGGAAUGGAAAAAUAAAUAGAUCUCAUGCAGAUUAUUAUUUACAUACAUGUAUGUGUAGUUGUGUCCAUGUACCCUGCCUUUUACAAAUUUUCCGGGUGCAGGGCCCCCACCCAUACCUGCAUCCGUAACUAUAUGUGUAACUUAGCUUGUGACGGUACAAGUUUUUGAUGGGUAUUGCAGCUUCCACUUGCAGAUCCGUCCAUAGUUAUUUAGUAUAUAUAUUCUUGCAACAAUAUUUGUUGCAGAACUUGUAUGGUUUAUUGCUUGCUCUUCCAUACAACCCCCCACCCCCCCUCUUUAUAUUGAUUUUUUUUUGUUUUGACUAUUUAAAGCUUAUGUGAGUCGGAUUUUCUUAAAAAAAUUUAGUGUACUUUCUCUUCCUCUAUUUGGGAUUUUCCAAUUUUCAAUUUGGGUUUAUGAUUCCAUGAUUGUAAUUCUUGAACUGUGUAAUGUGUCAAUUUUUACCGCAAGCACCCAACAAUCUAACAAAGACAAUUCGCAAGUUCUACUUUCCACUUUUUGUUACUAUAGUGGUACAUAAAGGAUUAGUUCAUAGUCUUUCUCGUUCUCUCUUUGCACUCUUUUUGAAGAUGUCUUUUCUUUUUAGGAUUCAUGGAUUGUCAUUAUUAUAUGAUCAUGAUGAUGGUAAUGUUUUUUUCUUUUAUUAUGAGUUAGCUAAAUGGUCAAGAGGAAAGGAUUACAGGGAUGUUCUCAUAUUAGACCCUAAAUUUUAUCCCAUUUUUUAUUGCGCCUCCAAUCUUCUAUUUGUAAUUUACGCCCUCAUAUCUAUUAAAUUGUUUUAAACAACACGUCCACAUUUGUAUACCUCCAAAUCCAUUAAGUUGUUUUAGAUAACACAACCAUUUUGAACAAAUAUGAAUUUUUUUUCUUUUUCUUGGGUGGGGUGGGUAAUCUACAAAAUAUGAAGAUUUUGUUGCCUAGUAUAAAAGUAGGAUAGAAUUCAGGAUCUAGUAUGAGAAAAAUCCAACAUUAUAAAUUGAUAUUCAAUUUAUUCUUAGUUGUUAUUGUUAAUAUGAUUCCUGCAUGCUUCCGUCAUGUGUCUCAUCAUGAUUAAGGUGUGGUCAUAUAGUUUUAAGAUAUUUACGCUUGUCAUGAAUUUAUUGUUUUCACAUUCAAUAUGUAGAUGUGUCAUGUCUAUUAUUCGGACUUUUGAUAGUUUGAUGGAUAAUUUUGGACUCGUAACAAAUUUUUAUUUUUUUAUCUAACUACUCACAUAAAAUAUUUAUUGAAAAGAAAAUAGUAUUAAUAAAAGUAGCAGAUGACAUUUAAAGAAAAAGCAAUGAUAUGUUUUAGAGAAUAAUUUAUCAAUUGCGUGAACUUUGCUUUUGACUGUCUUUUUUUUAACAGUGGCAAGUCCUUCCUUCGGGAACAUAACCAACUGGUAUAAGUGAUUAUGCAGGCGCUCAAGCAACUUCCUCCUCAGUUUCUGUGAAGCAAUUUUCCCUGAAACUCUGCAUUGAGAAAAAGUAGAUUCUACUAUGACAUAAACUAUAACAAUGCGUUUCUCCAAAUUUUUUGGGGACUACUACGUGUACUUUUGUUCUUCUCAUUGGUGCAGUAAGUGGCCUAUGUUUUACAUAAUCAGACUAUUUCAAUCGUUCUCUCAUUUUAUCCUUAAUUCAAGCAAACCUCUGACUUGCAUUUUGUUUCUUAAUUGAUCCAUAAAUCAUUGUCGGCCUUAUAGUUGUCUUGUUGAAAAGGUUGAUAUUCUGCUACCUAUUUGCAAUGGAAAAAUCCAAAUCCUAUAGAAAUGGCGAGGAUGGCCUGCUAGUAUGCAGGCAACCAGUUUGCAGCCAUCUCGUUACUUUAUUAGAGAGAGAAAGGGAGAGGUUGUACCCAUCGUUAUUAUGAUGUUGUCCAGGAUUUCAUUUUCCACAAGGGCCUUAUAUAUGUCAUUGACCGUGGACUAUGUUACCCAGGUACUUCUAUCUUGCAGCUGUACCAGACACGUAGCUGCACCCAAACUUCAUGGACACUCUUUGGAUAUGUGCAUACAUUUAUUCAGACAUGUACUCAAUUAUAUGAUAUAUGUUUUAAUUUAAAACACUUGUCAAAUAUUUCUUGGAUGUAUGUCCUAAACUUCACAUCCAAUUCUUGAAUCUUGUUAGACAUGGGUUGGUUUUGUUUCAGCCUAUUCCCAAGUUCAAAGCUAUGAUCUUAAAGGGUCGUUUGGGUGUCUAUUUCAAAACAGAGUAGUUUCCAAUUCAUAAUAAUCAACAUAAUAAAAGAAACUUUAAAAAUGUGAUAAUAAUUUUAAUCCUAAUAACACAUGAAAACAAUUAUGUUCUCAUAUAAAUUAUUAAUUUUAAUAUAUAUAAUUAAUUAGGCGUGUCCCUAUAUCCUACAUUUACAAUUUUGCCAUGUUCUGUACUUUUACCCGCACUUGUACCGGUACCCAUAUUAGUUCCCAUGCAACUUUGACCAUGUAAGAAACCUGGGUAUAUUCAAUUUCAACGAUCCAGCAUCAUAAUCACUUGUUCUUAGUGUCCAGACAUAUGGAGAUAUUCCCUUUCCACGUCCUUAAAGGGUGCAUCAGAGACAUGGGCAUAUUUGUGUCGAUUGAUCAAUCCAUGUAUCUUUCAGCUCGUGAUUUCCCAUAAUCUCUUAAACCCAACUCCAUUUAUUUCACAGAAAGUCAUAAGAUGGCUCCCUGGCAAAGUGCUUGGGCUCCUCGGCAGAGUUUUCAUUUUGGACGAUGGAAGAAUCUACUUUUUGUGCAGACUAUGAAUAAUAAAGGCAUGGUCGAUGGGCCCCUUUGGUCGCCAAAUGUAUGGUUCAUGCCUGCAACUACUUUUAAAAUCCCACCUUAAUUUAGGCAUGCUGUGGAUUUUUCAAAUUUGAGGCAGGCCAUGUGCCGUACCUCAAACAUAUCUGUUGGCCUUGUGUUUGGACAUGGUAAUUUUUUCUCUAUGUUAUUUACAUGCAAAUAUUUAUUUUGUUAGCGCAUUAUUAUGAUAUGAUGUUUAUAGCUUUAGCUUUAUUUCUCAUCAAAGUUUAUCAGAGACUUUUGUGUAAUUUUAAAGUUUAUCAGAGACUUUUGUGUAAUUUUUCUUUUUUUUAUUUGGGUUCUUCUUUGCUAACAUAUUGUGCUAAUUUUGACUGCAUGACUCAUUCAAUUGCGUGAACUUAUACGAAAAUUGGAAAGAGAAAACAUUAAUCUUUAUUGUAGGUACUAUGCCAAAGAGAAUGAUUGAAUAAUUAAUGAAUCAGGACGACAAAACUAGAUGAAAAGAAGCACCAAAACACUAUAAUUCUGUUAAUUUUGUAUGUAAAAUUAGUUACUUUCAUUAGUAAUCAACACAUACAAGAAAAGGAAAUACAAAUAAUAACGUAAAAAUGGUAUUUAAUAUUUCUUUUAAGAAAAAACAAAUACAUGUUAAAGAUAGUUUAAGUAAAUUUUUUGAAAGCAUACAUUUUGUUUUAUCAUAUUUCUCUUGCUUAUUCCGCUCAUUUUUAAUGAAGUGUUUCUUCUUUGCAACUCAAUGCAACUACUUUGCAAUAAUGGAAUUACAUGCGGAAUAAUCUGCAAAAAAAUUCCUAAAGCAAGGCACAUGCUUAACAGCCAAUUACAAUGCAAGCGCUUAGUGGUACUGUUUCCCCCUCUCCCUCUCAUCGCCCUGUUCUCUUUUUACCUUUCAACAAGUUUAAUGCAGCAAUUCUUUCUCUUGUUAUUAAGGGGCUGUUUGUUUGCGCAAAUAAAGAGUGAAAUGGGGGGUUUGAAAUCUGACAAGAAGGCCUCAUAGGAUUUUGGUUUCAAGACAUUUCCAUUCCAUGCGUUUGGUUCGCUGCGUGAUUUAAAGAAAUGGUGUGUGUGUGUGUGUGUGAAAUGGGUUGCCACAUCAGAUUUUCAAGAAAACCUAUUUCAGACCAAAAGUGGCUGAAAUGGGUUGGAAACGUCACAUCUGGGCAUAUUUAAAUAUUUAAAGCACUAUUGAAACGACGGUUUGAAUUGAAGGGGAAUAUUUAAUGUCCUAUCGCUGAAUAUUUAAUUAGAAAACUUAUUUGAUUUCUUGAUUUCUGGAUGUUCAAACAAACCCAAGAAAUGGGAAACUUUGUUUUCCAGCCUAUGAUUUCAAUGUGAAACAAACCAAAAAAAAGAAAAAAAAAAGAAAUGGGGGAAACCCUCUGAAAUGUCCAGAAAUGUUUUCCAGCCUAGUUUUCUGUUUUCUUUUUUUUUUUGGGAAAUGUACCAAACAGCCCCUAAAGAGAAAUAUUCAGAGCUCCGACUCUUGGUGAUUCUCCCUUUCUCUUUCUUCAAGUUGGUCUGAAAAGGGUUACCUGCGAUUUAGCCUUUCUUAUUUUUGUGGUUCAUAACUGUGAAAGUGGGCUUGCAACUCCGUGAAAUCUAAGGAAAAAGAAAGAAAAGAACAAUGAUGAUUUUCCCAAAUGGCAUUAGUUGUUUGAUUGCUAAGGUAUUAAAAGUGACAAGGCAGGUUUGGACAACAUGCUAGUAUACAGGCAACUAGCUUGCAGGCAUCCAUUUACUUUGGGCUAAAUUACCAAAUUGGUAUUUUUAGUAGCACACACUUUUCAAUUUAGUAUGCUCCGGAAACAUUAAGGGUAUUAAUAUCGAAUUUCAACAGCGGCUAAAUUACCAAAUUGGUAUUUUUAGUAGGACAUGAUUUCCGGAAGCGUUGUGAGUUCUUGUUGGGUCUUACGAAUUCCACUUGCAGAUCCGUUCAUAAUUAUUUAGGAUCCAAUGCAUGCAACAAUAUUGGUUGCAGAACUUGCAUAAUUUUCUUGCCUGCUCUCUCAUGCACAUAAAACUCUUUUUAUAUUGACUUUUUUGUUUCUGACUAUUUAAAGGUUAUGGUAUUCAAUUUUUUUCUGAAGAAAAUUUAAGCAUACUUCCCCUUUCUCUAUUUGGCAUUUCCCUAUUUACAAUUGCAUUUAUGAUUUUGUGAUUUUCAAUUCUAGAAUUGUUUAAUGUAUAAAUUUUAAUUGCAAGCAGCCAACAAUCUGACUAAGACAAUUCACAAGUUAUGUUUUCCAUUUUUAUUACUAUAGCGGCAAUAAUGAUUUCCCUAAACAGACACUUUAUGAAUAUUAUUUCUUUUCAGGACUCAUGGAUUGUUAGGAUAAUUAUGGUGAUGAUUUUUUUUUACGGAUUCAUGGUUUAAUAUAUGGUGAGCUUGUAAUGGACCCACAACCUUCAGAUCUUCAGAUCCAAGUUCUAAGAGAUGUAACAAAACUUCUUGGAUGCAGACAUUAAGAAUCACUCAUGAUUUGUUUUUGUUCCCUGUUUCUUGAAAAGUUUGUUUCUUAUCCAUAUUAUGUACCAUAUCUUUCUUCAGUGAGUUUUCAUGUCCCUAGCUGCCUGGUGACCGCGUUUCCUGAAUUUUACGGCUUUUCCUUACUAUAUAGAGGCUAUGAUGAUUUGCUCUUAAGCUUUUUGGCUUUGAUGAUCGGAUGUGAUAGAUUUGGGGGUAUACAGACAAAAACCCAUACAUAAUUGGUCUUGUUAGAUGCUUAACUGAACCUAGAAGUUAUUCAGCGGCAAAUUUGUCUGAGAAAUCCAAUUGAAUCAAUUCUUUGAUUCCUAAGGCUAUAAAAAUGGCGUGGCAAACUUGGAUCCGCUGUUCAUUCUCCGGUCUCCAGUUUGCAGCCAAUCCUAUAUUUUGGGUGUAUGAGAACAUUUAGAACUAUGUGGGUUUUAAAGUAAAUGGGGGUAAAACUUUGGGUUUAUAACCUUCAGAUCUCUUUUUAUUUUUUUAAUGAAAAGAGAUGGGAGGGAGGGAGGGGAGGAUUUAUAUUGGCAUAUCUGAGCCUCCUAUUUAUUUAUAUCUUUACAAUGUGGUUUGGAUUACAAUUUCUUGAAGAGUGUGUUUUAUGUCCUUUCCUUUGCAGUUUUUUAUCCAUUAUUUUUGGGUUUAUAACUGUGUCUCUACAGGCUACCAAUAUUGCUGUCUCUCUUAUAUCACAAAUUUUCCCCCUUCAUGAAGAUAUUCUGAGUGUAAGUAGCAGUGUCUGUGGAAACUUUGUGGCGCCCACCAGACCUUUCUAAUUCAGGAUUCUUUGACUUGGGAAAUUGUUCUUUAUUCGCAGGACCAAGAGUACUUUAAGGAUUAAGACCAGCAGCAGUGAUCACCUUCUCUCCCUUCACUCUCUCAACUUCAGUUAUUUAGAUUUUCUUGUAAACACUUGUGGUACUCCAGACUAAGAUGUAAUUUCCUCUUUCCUACUUUGAAUAGUUGUGGACAUGGUUACAUAUAUGGCGAGGCAAGCUUGAGCUUCUUGGUUGUACUCAAGCAAUCUGCCCCCAGCUAUCACUAUCUGGGGUCUUACCAAAUAUGUACAUAUGGAAAAGCUUGCUUCUUUACCAAAAAGGUUGCGGAAAUGGGGGAGGCGAGCUUAAAAUUGCCUGCUGGUGUCCGUGCGUCUUCUUCCUCUCAAUUUUCAGGAAGCAGUUUUUGGAUAAAAUUUCAGAAAAUGAAAUGAACUUUGGCCAAUUUGCACAAGACCUCCAUGAAUGUGUAAUGAAAACUCUUCUAAACUUUGGUGGAAUUUCAACCGCUGAUCUUUUUGAUUGCUAGGGUUGCAGAAAUGGUGAGGCAAGCUUGAAGUUGCCUGCUUGUUUGCUGGCAACCAGUUUGCAGCCAUCCCUUUCUUCAUUGUAGGGGGAGAAGUCUAUCUGAGCCUCAUCCUCUAACAGGCGAGAAAGGCUACUGCUUUGCUCUCUUAGAUUGGAGAUAUCUGAAUGGGGUUACCUGCAAUUUAUCCUUAGUAUGGGGCUUGCAACUCCAUGAAAUCCAUGGACAAGAAGGGGAAAAAAUGGAAAUGAUGAUUUGCACCAAAAGCAUCAAUGGUUUGAUUGCUAUGGUUAUAAAAAUGUCGAGGCAAGCUUGGAUGGCUUGCUAGUAUGCAGGCAACCAACUCGCAGCAGCCAUUUGUUUUAUUACAGAGAGGGAGACAGAGGCCAACUUCCAAGUCCAUUGAAAAGAAGUUAAUAUGUUUGCUUGGCAGCAGUUGGAUUUGAACUCACGCCCUUUCAAACCAGAGCCUAGAUCUGUUGCCUUAGACCACUUGGUCAAAUUUUUGCAGUAAUGAUGUGCAAUGCUGAUAUCCUUAAAAUGAUAAGAUCAUUGAGGGUUCAGUUCCUUUUAUUAUAAUGCUUGAAAGCUUUGGGAUCUUGAUGAUGGUUAAGGUUAUAAAUGGCUUGGCAAGCUUUGUUUACUUGCAGCCAUUAUUUGUUAGAGAAAAGAGAGAGAUUAUUCAUCACAACAAUGUGCUGAAAUCUAGCAUAUCUGGAUCUCAUCACAUAACCAUGCAAGUUAGGCUUGCAACAGAGCGAGUUCUUUCUGGGUAUUACAAAUUCCAGUCGUACACCUGUUCAUAAUUAUUUAUGAUCCAUUCUUGCAACAAUAUUUGUUGCAGAA
RNA transcript from Asparagus officinalis (garden asparagus), 12924 nucleotides. RefSeq lists it as uncharacterized. The transcript is spliced from 10 exons. NCBI's taxonomy places the organism in Eukaryota, Viridiplantae, Streptophyta, Magnoliopsida, Asparagales, Asparagaceae. The record is from RefSeq and is a predicted model, not a curated record.